AUAUAAUCUUUAUCCUCAUCUGAUUGAGUUUGAUUCAAUUUCACUCCACUUGAAGCUGAUCUUAUCCUUGCUUAGAUGGCAAAAUCUAUCUUAUCUCCCCAUCGCCUCGGAUUACAGGUUUGGUCAAGGUUGUAGCCUCCCAGUAUAAAAAAUCCUUUAAUUCAACCUUUUUUCUUCCUUUUCUCGACUUCUGCUCACAAACCUGUCCAAAAUCAAAUUCAAAUUAAAAUUAAAUAUUUAUAUCAAAAUUAGAGUAAAAUCAAGGAAUUAAAUGAGGAAAAAAUUGUGAGUUUUUGCAACUCAUCAGAUUCCCCCACACUUGCACCUUUGCUUGUCCUCAAGCACAGAAAUUAAAAUGAACAAUAAAAU
Molecule: long non-coding RNA, 369 nt
Filed under: Manihot esculenta (cassava)
Lineage: Eukaryota; Viridiplantae; Streptophyta; Magnoliopsida; Malpighiales; Euphorbiaceae
Description: long non-coding RNA (MESC_LNC005462)
Source: RNAcentral